This 1774-nucleotide ribosomal RNA is filed under the name Polyzonia elegans. RNAcentral's name for it is "SSU rRNA". It matches the Rfam family "Eukaryotic small subunit ribosomal RNA". The record is from RNAcentral. Lineage: Eukaryota; Rhodophyta; Florideophyceae; Ceramiales; Rhodomelaceae.
AUUCUGGUUGAUCCUGCCAGUGGUAUAUGCUUGUCUCAAAGACUAAGCCAUGCAAGUGCCUGUAUGAGUGCCUUAGUAAAACGAAACUGCGAAUGGCUCGGUAAAACAGCUAUAAUUUAAUCGGGGAUAAUCCCACCGGAUAACCGUGGGAAAGAUAGAGCUAAUACGUACAUUCAAAGCGAGAAAUCAUACUCGUGGUACUAUUUAGAGGUACAACCCAGUUUUACUGGUGAUUCAUACUUAUUUUCUGAUCGCACUUUGUGCGACACCCCGAUUAGAUUUCUGACCUAUCAGCUUGAUGGUAAGGUAGCGGCUUACCAUGGCCAUGACGGGUGACGGACCGUGGGUGCGGGAUUCCGGAGAGGGAGCCUGAGAAACGGCUACCACAUCCAAGGAAGGCAGCAGGCGCGCAAAUUACCCAAUCCAAACAUUGGGAGGUAGUGACAAGGAAUACUAAUAGGGGGACCUAUGGUCUCCCUAAUUGGAAUGGAUGCAAUCUAAACAUCUGUUUGAGAAUCCAGCAGAGGGCAAGUCUGGUGCCAGCAGCCGCGGUAAUUCCAGCUCUGUAAGCGUAUACUAAAGUUGUUGCAGUUAAAACGCUCGUAGUCGGAUUUUGGUGUGUGUUACCGAUGCUCCGUAAGGAUGCUGAUGUAUCCACGCCUUUGUGGAGGGGGGUGUGACGGUGCUUUAUUGUAUUGUUGCAUUUCCGCCACUUUUUACUGUGAAAAAAUUAGAGUGUUCAAAGCAAGCGUUUGCCUGAAUACAUUAGCAUGGAAUAAUAGAAUAGGACUUGGUUCUGUUUUAUUGGUUUGUCAGAAUCAGGUAAUGAUUAAAAGGGACGGUUCGGGGGCAUUUGUAUUCCAGCGCGAGAGGUGAAAUUCUAGGACCGUUGGAAGACAAACAGCUGCGAAAGCGUCUGCCAAGGACGUUUUCAUUGAUCAUGAACGAAAGUAAGGGGAUCGAAGACGAUCAGAUACCGUCGUAGUCUUUACUAUAAACGAUGAGGACUGGGGAUCGGAUGUGGCUUAAUUUAUUAAUGGUACGUUCGGCACCCUCAGGGAAACCAAAGUGUUUGCUUUCUGGGGGGAGUAUGGUCGCAAGUCUGAAACUUAAAGGAAUUGACGGAAGGGCAUCACAGGGUGUGGAGCCUGCGGCUUAAUUUGACUCAACACGGGAAAACUUACCAGGGCAGGACAUAGUAAUGAUUGACAGAUUGAGAGCUCUUUCUUGAUUCUAUGGUUGGUGGUGCAUGGCCGUUCUUAGUUGGUGGAGUGAUCUGUCUGGUUAAUUCCGUUAACGAGCGAGACCUGGGCGUACUAUUUAGGGUGUGUUAUCCUUGUGAUAGCGUUGCUCUUCUUAGACGGACUAUAGACUUUUAGUCUAUGGAAGCUCCAGGCAAUAACAGGUCUGAGAUGCCCUUAGAUGUCCUGGGCCGCACGCGUGCUACACUGAAUGGUUCAACGGGUGAGGGAGUGCGAAAGCAUCAACCCAAUCUCUAAAUCCAUUCGUGAUGGGGAUAGAAGCUUGCAACUAUCCUUCUUGAACGAGGAAUACCUUGUAAGCACGAGUCAUCAUCUCGUGCUGAAUACGUCCCUGCCCUUUGUACACACCGCCCGUCGCUCCUACCGAUUGAGUGGUCCGGUGAGGCUUUGGGAGAGUUGAGUGGGUUGUGUUUCACAAACUGUUUGGCUUGAACUUGGUCAAACCUUAUCACUUAGAGGAAGGAGAAGUCGUAACAAGGUUUCCGUAGGUGAACCUGCGGAAGGAUCAUUCA